UACGUAGGGUGCGAGCGUUGUCCGGAAUUGUUGGGCGUAAAGAGCUCGUAGGCGGUGUGUCACGUCGAUCGUGAAAACUUGGGGCUUAACCCUGAGCUUGCGGUCGAUACGGGCAUCACUGGAGUUCGGCAGGGGAGACUGGAAUUCCUGGUGUAGCGGUGAAAUGCGCAGAUAUCAGGAGGAACACCGGUGGCGAAGGCGGGUCUCUGGGCCGAUACUGACGCUGAGGAGCGAAAGCGUGGGGAGCGAACAGG
RNAcentral lists this ribosomal RNA (254 nucleotides) under uncultured bacterium. RNAcentral's name for it is "partial 16S ribosomal RNA". It matches the Rfam family "Bacterial small subunit ribosomal RNA", at positions 524 to 776 of the family's 1533-position model. The record is from RNAcentral.